UAGAGCUUGAAAAUGUGAUCACCUUGCUUAUAUUCAGCGGCAUAGCAAUGGAGAUUUCAGGUUAUGCAACUGUUUGUAUGCACUGCUUAUCUGAGAGCUGAAUCUGGCCUUGAACUGGAAAAGGAUGAAAGAAGUCAGCCUCAUUUCUUCAUAAAACCUCAGGCUUCUUCUGACGAUCCUAAAACCAAACUCAGCCUGGGAAGCAGCUACUGGGAAGAUUCUCAUGGAGAGAAAGGGCACCCAUCCAGGCAGUUGUGGGACUCCUUCAGUAGCAUCACAUCAAAAUCAAGUAGAAGACUGUGAGCAAAAAGAGAGGCUGCAAUCAGAAGAAUCUAAAUGGCCAUUUGAGUGUGAAGACGAAGGUCAAGAAGGACAACAAAAGAUCAAAUGAGUGUCUGGGAGCUGAACCUGGAGAUAAUCUCAAAACUGAAAAAGGCUAGGUGCACAGAAGACCAGCUACCAAUUAUGCAAAUACUCAAAAAAUCAGAACAUUAAUUAAGAUUUUAUUACGUUAUUAGUAAUGAAGUCAAAUUGAGUUGUAACGAGUUAGAAAGUGAACAUGGUUUCUUUGAAUUGUUAAAUGUACUUGUUUCAAUUUUACUGCUUUAAAAUUGCAGCAUGAAAUGUAUUUCAAAAGAAUAAUAUACAUUUGUAUUAAUUGUAGGGUAAGGGCACACUCAGUGCACUCUUUAAAUAGUGCUCUCCUCAGCCUUGUUUCAGAGUCUCUUUUUUCUAUUCUUCUCUAGCUUUCCUUUUCUAGCAUCAUCACUUUGAGUCAUCAGAAAAAUUAGAAGAAAACCCACACCAUUUCUAGUGCCAAAACCUCAGCUCUGCAGUUCUGCAAGUUAAAACAGUCCUUCCAUAACUCCCUAUUUCAGUACUUUUCUGAUCUCCUCAGGAAAAAAAAUAAAAAAAUAACAGGCUGGAUUCUUGGCCA
This 937-nucleotide long non-coding RNA is filed under the name Coturnix japonica (Japanese quail). RNAcentral's name for it is "lncRNA (ENSCJPG00005018420.1)". Lineage: Eukaryota; Metazoa; Chordata; Aves; Galliformes; Phasianidae. The record is from RNAcentral.